AAACCACAGAAAAUUUAUGAGCCAGUCCAAAAGCUAGGAUUUGUGAAUUUCUACUGCAGAGUGGGAGAUGCAUCUGAUUUAUCUUGUUUGCUUCACUGGGGUUCAGUAUAGUAAAACCUUAAUAAAUAGUGAAUUCCAUUAACUAUUUCCUUCAAGUAUGUUUCACAAUCCUACACCAACAAUAUCAUCAUUCCUGCAGGUAACACUACCCUCUCUUAUCUACCAACACCCAAAUGUAAGGUUGUUCUCAAAACCUGUAACUGCAUAUUUAAUAAGGUGACUUUCAUUGCUAAAAAAUCUACAUGUUGUAUGUAUCAAAAAAUCUACAAAUGCAGACUAAUAUUUAUACGUUUUCCUUUGAUGUAUUUGAAUAAACAUCUUAUUUAACUACAGUCUAUGUGUCUAUGCUAUAAAUUAAAAGUUUAGCCUGGAGACUGGAGUCGAAGUCCGUGAGUCAGCCAUAAUGGCAGAUGAAGAAAUUAAUGAAGACUAUCCAGUAGAAAUUCACGAGUAUUUGUCAGCCUUUGAGAAUUCCAUUGGUGCUGUGGAUGAGAUGCUGAACACCAUGAUGUCUGUUUCUAGAAAUGAGUUGUUGCAGAAGUUGGACCCACCUGAACAAUCAAAAGUGGAUUUGGUUUCUGCAUACACAUUAAAUUCAAUAUUUUGGGUUUAUUUGGCAACUCAAGGAACAUCCAGUAAAGCAGGAAUUGGAAAGAAUCAGAGUAUAUAUGAACAGAGUCAAGGAAAUAACAGACACGAAAAAGGCUGGCAAGCUGGACAAUGGCGCAGCUUUAAGGUUUGUAAAAAAUGCUCUCUGGGAACCAAAACCGAAAAUCGCAUCAAAAGUUGCCAAUAAAGGAAAAAGUAAAAGUUAACUUUUUGAUUUUGAUGUAUGCAUAUUCAAAAAGUACAUCAUUUGUUUCCACAAAAGAAUUCUGUGACAGUGCAAGGUUUAAAUGUGUUUCUUAUUGAAUUUAUAUAUAUAUAUAUUUACAGUAAAUUUGUAAAGCUGAAUACUUUCCAAAGAUUGUUAUCUUUAUUGAUUUGCACUAUGAGGAUUUAAACACUGUGAUAUAUUUUAUAUUUAUAAUUUGCCAUCUCUUUUGAUGAGACUCUUAUUUCUUUAUGUAGGUCAAUCUUGCAAGUACCAUUUUAUAAGCAACCGUGAAAUUUAAGUAAAAUGUUCUUCGUAAACAUUUGUACUAAUUUAAAUGAAUAAUGACCUUAUGAAGUAUGCUUUCUGUAGACUGAAAUUAUAGGUAUAUCUAUUUUCACUAUAUGACAUUAAGAAAGCAUGAAUGACCUAAAUGUUCAUUGUUUUCUGUAUAGUUACUUUAUAAUGUUUUCAUGAUCUUAGGAAUUACUGCUUUGUUGAUAUUCAGAGUGUGAAACUAAAACUUUAUAGCUGUACUUUAAUUCUUGGCAUGUUGCCUUAUGUCCCAUUUAAAAUAAAAUACAUUCUCAUUAACUUUAGAUGGGAAAUAAGGUGUAUGUUGAUGGAUAAAUUUUGGCAUGAUGACUAUACUCUCUCAAUAAAGGUUGAAAAGUGUU
Cebus imitator (Panamanian white-faced capuchin) is the source of this 1551-nucleotide RNA transcript. It is a transcript of the gene named nuclear nucleic acid-binding protein C1D-like, with no coding region annotated. The record is from RefSeq and is a predicted model, not a curated record. NCBI's taxonomy places the organism in Eukaryota, Metazoa, Chordata, Mammalia, Primates, Cebidae. The transcript has a single exon.